UACGUAGGUGGCAAGCGUUGUCCGGAUUUAUUGGGCUUAAAGGGUGCGUAGGCGGCUUUGUAAGUCAGUGGUGAAAUACUCUAGCUUAACUAGAGGGGUGCCAUUGAUACUGCGGAGCUUGAGUACAGAUGAGGUAGGCGGAAUUGACGGUGUAGCGGUGAAAUGCAUAGAUAUCGUCAAGAACACCGAUAGCGAAGGCAGCUUACUGGGCUGUAACUGACGCUGAUGCACGAAAGUGUGGGGAUCAAACAGG
RNAcentral lists this ribosomal RNA (253 nucleotides) under uncultured bacterium. Its description in RNAcentral is "partial 16S ribosomal RNA". It matches the Rfam family "Bacterial small subunit ribosomal RNA", at positions 524 to 776 of the family's 1533-position model. The record is from RNAcentral.